This 491-nucleotide ribosomal RNA is filed under the name uncultured bacterium. RNAcentral's name for it is "partial 16S ribosomal RNA". It matches the Rfam family "Bacterial small subunit ribosomal RNA", at positions 29 to 506 of the family's 1533-position model. The record is from RNAcentral.
AGUGAACGCUGGCGGUAGGCCUAACACAUGCAAGUCGAACGGCAGCACAGUAAGAGCUUGCUCUUACGGGUGGCGAGUGGCGGACGGGUGAGGAAUACAUCGGAAUCUACUUUUUCGUGGGGGAUAACGUAGGGAAACUUACGCUAAUACCGCAUACGACCUACGGGUGAAAGCAGGGGAUCUUCGGACCUUGCGCGAUUGAAUGAGCCGAUGUCGGAUUAGCUAGUUGGCGGGGUAAAGGCCCACCAAGGCGACGAUCCGUAGCUGGUCUGAGAGGAUGAUCAGCCACACUGGAACUGAGACACGGUCCAGACUCCUACGGGAGGCAGCAGGGGGGAAUAUUGGACAAUGGGCGCAAGCCUGAUCCAGCCAUACCGCGUGGGUGAAGAAGGCCUGCGGGUUGUAAAGCCAUUUUGUUGGGAAAGAAAAGCAGCAGGUUAAUACCCCGCUGUUCUGACGGUACCCAAAGAAUAAGCACCGGCUAACUUCGU